RNAcentral lists this long non-coding RNA (296 nucleotides) under Cucumis sativus (cucumber). RNAcentral describes it as "long non-coding RNA (CSAT_LNC000397)". Lineage: Eukaryota; Viridiplantae; Streptophyta; Magnoliopsida; Cucurbitales; Cucurbitaceae. The record is from RNAcentral.
AUUGGUUGUUAGUUCCUUAUACUGUACAGAAUUUGACAUGGACACAACAUGGGUUUAAUGAGAAAGUUGGGGAGAUUCAGGCGGCAGCGAAGGCGGCGUUUGGGCGGUUGAAAGGGCGAUGGACUUGUUUACAGAAAAGAACAGAGGUGAAACUGCAGGAGUUGCCGGUGGUGCUGGGAGCUUGCUGUGUUCUUCAUAAUAUAUGUGAAAUGAGGAAGGAGAAAUUCGAUCCGGAGCUGAAAUUUGAGGUUUAUGAUGAUGAAAUGAUGCCGGAAAACAACGGGUUGAGAUCGGUG